UUUUAACAGCGGAGAUAUUUUUAGUUUAUUAAAAUUUACUUGAACCAAACAUGUCGAACCCAAUUACAACAGCAGUUGGAAAAUAUCCCGCCUUGGCGAAUGGACCACUUGCUAAGCCAGAUGGCAUGAAAGGUGCUUUGCUGAAAAGUGUAAGAGCAAGCGUUCUACCAAGCGUUGCCGUGUGUCUUGGUGUGUACGGUGUCACCAUGUACGCCACUUUCUUCCGGCGCAAGGCCAAGAUUGAUACUUACAUGAAAAAUUUGGAUCCCGAUGCAAUGUUUGAAGAAAUAAAAGAAUACGGAGCAUUUAAAAGUGUAAAGGCCUCCUGGCAAGAGUAGUUUCAUUUCCUCUGUUCUUUGUAUGUCUCUCUGAAAACACUUUCAAAUGGUGACCCUGGAAUUUUCUUGUGUAUUUUAUGAGUUCAAAAUGUUGAUUACAUUGUAUCGGAAUUAAAUGUUAUUGU
Non-coding RNA from Ciona intestinalis (vase tunicate), 463 nucleotides. The record is from RefSeq and is a predicted model, not a curated record. NCBI's taxonomy places the organism in Eukaryota, Metazoa, Chordata, Ascidiacea, Phlebobranchia, Cionidae.